CCUUGUUUUCAAUCCAAAAACUUGGCUUCAAACAUCACAGUUGAACAGUGCGGAGGGAGAGAGUUUGCUGCAGAACAGCAGUGCGACAAUUAAAAUAGAACCAUAAAACUACAGCAAAAUGAUUGUCAAAGUUUCUGUUAUUACUCUUGCUUUCUUUGUGCUGUCCGUGUCAUCGACAGGAGAUGGAAAUCUCAUAGAGAGAGUGGACCCUCGCUGCCGUUGCGUCAAUCAUACCUCACAAUUCAUCCAUCCAAAGCGAAUGAACGACCUUGAUCUUAUACCAAGUGGCCCUCAUUGCUCACAGGUGGAAAUAAUAGCCACACUCAAGACUGGUAGGAAAGUUUGUCUAAACCCUGAAGCCCCGUGGGUCAUGCUAAUGAUUCGGAAGAUUUUAGAAAAGCCAUAGCUGGGUGACUCGGGAUAAGUACGACAUCAGAGGCGUGCACAAUUUGGAAAACCCUUGCCUGCGCCAACCUCCAACCCCAGCAUGCGUACUGAAAGUACACAGCCUGUAGCACAUCCUUGCUUCAAUCCUCAUCAGCCAAUUGAUUUAUUUUCAGUUGAAGUCUACUAAACAAUAUAAUCACAUGUGUAUCUGAGUAGUGUCUUCAUUUAUGUCUCUUUAAAAUAUACUCGGCAUUGUAUAUCGAACAAGCAUUUAGGAACAAUUAUGUUAUUCUUAAAUCAGUUAACUGAAAUCAAAGAUUCUUAGCAAUCUAUGGUUCACAAUGAGUCAAUUGUCUGAAUAACAGCAUUCUAAUCCAGCUGUACUUUCCAGCUUUGGGUCCAUACUCUCAAGGUAGUAUCAGUUUAACAAUCUGGGGGGAAUUGAUGAUAAUACAUAGAGAGAAUAAAGUUCAAUGACAUUAGUGUAAAAGUGGUGGUCAGCAUGGAGUCUGUGGACCAAAGGGCCUGUUUCCAUGUUGUAACGUUCAAUAACUCUAUAACUCAAUAACGGUUCCAUGGUUCUUUAUUGUCAUGGGUGCACAACCCACAAAUACACAGUCUCCAUAUUUUGGUGCUAUUUAGAAAGUAAAAGUCCAAAUUCCAAACUCCAGAUUUGGUCCACAAGGUGGAGGUACUGGAGUGCCCCAGAUCCAGGGAAUUUCAGGUAAGCCUCAGUCUGCUGCAGGCCCACAGCCCAAUGUCCCUCUCCUCACCCGACUGCCUCUGUGUCCUGGGGAUGCCUCAUGCAGCCGACCUUGAAGGUGCUGACCUUGAAGAUCCCUCACUUAGAUUAGUUGAUUAUGUCAUGCAUUCCAAGGUACAGUGAAAAACUUUUUGCAUGAUGUAACGAUGAGGUCCAAUAAAGUAUGAUUAAAGAUAGUUGCUGCCAGUGUGGAUAAGCCUGCAGCAAAGAUAA
Amblyraja radiata (thorny skate) is the source of this 1363-nucleotide long non-coding RNA. RefSeq lists it as uncharacterized. The record is from RefSeq and is a predicted model, not a curated record. The transcript has 4 exons. NCBI's taxonomy places the organism in Eukaryota, Metazoa, Chordata, Chondrichthyes, Rajiformes, Rajidae.